CCCUAUUUUUUGCCAACUUGAGGGAUAGGCUCGCAGCCCUUGGAUCUGUUUUAAUGAGGCUCGACGGCUGAGAUCAAGUUGAGUGAUUUAAACCCUUUCUAACCUAUAUCACCCCGAGUUCCAGAACUACCCAAUUCAUUGUGCCCCUCUCUCGCGCAUCAACGCUAAGAGAAUUCUCCGAUUUCCAACUCCUCCAAUCUCAAUCAAAAUUCGGAGCUCAUCUCUAUAAAAAACCCACCAAAGAUUCAAACUUUCUCCACCAAAGGGUCCACGAAUCAAAACCCAUAAGCGUUGAUUCGUGAAUGGCGAGCCUGUAUGUGAAAGCUGUGCCUCCUGCGGAUCUGAAUAGGAACACAGAGUGGUUCGUGUACCUGGCGUUUGGACCACCUAUUUUCUCAUCCUCUUCUUCUCUUGGCUCCUUGUGCUCUCGAUUUUUGGCUGCUCUCCUGGCGUGGCUUAGACCAUAGUCAAUCUCUCUCAUUUCGUGCUUCAUCAAGAGAAAGAAAAUGCAUACAGAUUGAAACUUUCAUGGAAGGGUUUCUGUACUUUGAUUUACUGAACUGGAAAUCAUGUGGGGCAGCAGAAAUCCUCAAAUAAAAGUGAUUACUGUCAGCCCACAAUUUGAGAA
Long non-coding RNA from Rosa chinensis, 628 nucleotides. RefSeq lists it as uncharacterized. The record is from RefSeq and is a predicted model, not a curated record. Lineage: Eukaryota; Viridiplantae; Streptophyta; Magnoliopsida; Rosales; Rosaceae. The transcript has 3 exons.